Molecule: ribosomal RNA, 253 nt
Filed under: uncultured bacterium
Lineage: Bacteria
Description: partial 16S ribosomal RNA
Rfam family: Bacterial small subunit ribosomal RNA
Source: RNAcentral
UACAGAGGGUGCAAGCGUUAAUCGGAGUUACUGGGCGUAAAGGGCUCGUAGGCGGCCAACUAAGUCGGACGUGAAAUCCCUCGGCUUAACCGGGGAACUGCGUCCGAUACUGGAUGGCUUGAGUUCGGGAGAGGGAUGCGGAAUUCCAGGUGUAGCGGUGAAAUGCGUAGAUAUCUGGAGGAACACCGGUGGCGAAGGCGGCAUCCUGGACCGAUACUGACGCUGAGGAGCGAAAGCCAGGGGAGCAAACGGG